GUCCUUUUGAUUUUUAUAUAAGGUCUGACCUGCCCUAUGAAUAUUUAAAUGGCCGCGGUAUAUUAACCGUGCAAAGGUAGCAUAGUCAUUUGUCUCUUAAUUGGAGGCUUGAAUGAAGGGUUGGACGAGAUAUAAGCUUUCUUUGUUAUAUUUUAUUGAAUUUGACUUUUGAGUUAAAAGGCUUAAAUUUUUUUAUAGGACGAGAAGACCCUAUAGAAUUUUAUAUGUUUGUAUAAUUAAUUUAUUUAUUUAUUAUUUAAUUUCUUGUUUAAAUAUAUUUUGUUGGGGCGAUGGGAAGAUUUUAAUAACUCUUUUUUGUUUUGAUCAUUGAUUUAUGUUUUAUUCUGAUCCUUUUUUAGAGAUUAUAAGAUUAAAUUACCUUAGGGAUAACAGCGUAAUUCUUUUGGAGAGUUCUUAUCGAUAAAAGAGUUUGCGA
This 436-nucleotide ribosomal RNA is filed under the name Appasus japonicus. Its description in RNAcentral is "partial 16S rRNA". The record is from RNAcentral. Lineage: Eukaryota; Metazoa; Arthropoda; Insecta; Hemiptera; Belostomatidae.